This 533-nucleotide long non-coding RNA is filed under the name Setaria viridis. Its description in RNAcentral is "long non-coding RNA (SVIR_LNC010731)". The record is from RNAcentral. Lineage: Eukaryota; Viridiplantae; Streptophyta; Magnoliopsida; Poales; Poaceae.
UGCUUUUAGUUUUGUACUAGAACAAAAGCAGCUUUUGCCCUAAAACACUUGUGGCUUUUAGGCCCUUUGGUUGUCUUUUGGAUUUUGCAAAAGAAAAAGCAGGUUGAAAAGCCCAACCAAACACACCCUCUUGCCUUCUUCAGUUUUGGUGUUUUAUCAUGCUCCCUGGUCGGAUCGGUCUUCCCACCGUGUUCUACCUCCUCUGGUUCUGGAAGCUAUGUAAGGGGAUGGCGAAAACACUAUGCAAAGUGAAGCAAAGUUCAUGUGUGUAACAGGAUUAUGUUGUAGUAACAAGACUGUUUGCUAAAUAUUUUGAACACUAAAUUGUGAUUUUUUAGUUUUCUGCCUCCUUCCUAAUCUAUCAGGAGCAUGUGAUCACUUGCUGGAAUUUUAGAGAUGUUCAGUAAGGACUAAGAAUUAAUAUCGAGCUGUUAGAAGCCAAGCAGUAGCCAUCCUCCAAGUUAAACAUCAUUUCCAUGCACAUCUUGAAUAAUGUUGUCUUAGACAUUUCUUUUAUGUAAUCUGCUCGGGCC